Molecule: ribosomal RNA, 229 nt
Filed under: uncultured bacterium
Lineage: Bacteria
Description: partial 16S ribosomal RNA
Rfam family: Bacterial small subunit ribosomal RNA
Source: RNAcentral
UGGGCAACCUGCCCCUGGCUCUGGGAUAACUCCAAGAAACCGGGGCUAAUACCGGAUACUCCGGUCGAACCGCAUGGCUCGAUCGGGAAAGCUCCGACGGUCUGGGAUGGGCCCGCGGCCUAUCAGCUUGUUGGUGGGGUAACGGCCUACCAAGGCGGCGACGGGUAGCUGGUCUGAGAGGACGACCAGCCACACUGGAACUGAGAUACGGUCCAGACUCCUACGGGAG